This 1176-nucleotide long non-coding RNA is filed under the name Ananas comosus (pineapple). RNAcentral's name for it is "long non-coding RNA (ACOM_LNC019749)". The record is from RNAcentral. Lineage: Eukaryota; Viridiplantae; Streptophyta; Magnoliopsida; Poales; Bromeliaceae.
CUACUUAUAAAAGCGUGAGUUUUAAAUUUUUUCCUUUUUCCAAAAAUGUCUCUACUCUUUUUAUUAAUAUUUUUAUUUCCAGUAAUUUUCAACCAAUCAUUUCAAAUAAUUCACUAAAUAAUAAUUUAUUCUUAAAUAAAGAUAUUAAUUUUUUUGUCAUUAGAUCUUAUCUAACGAUUGAAAAUAAAAAUAUCUGUCACCUUUUGUGAUAAUAAUAUCCACCAUAUCCGUUAUCUCCUAUCUACGCGUUUCUCAAAUAUUUUCUUCCUAUCCGCCAAUCAUGUAAUACGUAAAAUUAAAUUUAUAAUGUAAUACCUGUCAAUCAUAUAAUACGUAAAAUUAAAUUUAUUUCAUAUUUAACGUAAUAUCCGCCAAUCACGUAAUAUGUACAAUUAAAUUUAUCUAAUAUCCACGCGUUUUCUCAAAUAUUUUCUUUCUCAAACGUAAUGCUUGCUAAUACUCAAAAUUAAAUUUUCAAUUUGUAAUGUCCGCCAAAAUUUAAUAUCCGCAAAUUUGAUAAUUUAAAUUUUAAUUCAUGAUAGUAGAUUUUCUUACGUGAGAUGAUAGAUUCAAUUUUAACGAGUAUUAAAAUUUGGCGAACCAUAAAAGUGUUACAUAUUGCUAAAAAAAUUUUAAUACCCCUCCAAUCAAAACUAAAUCAUUAAUUAAAUAUAAUUUUAAAUAUUUUUACUAAAAUAUUUAAUAUUUAAAUAAUGUGCCAUAAAAGCGUACAAUAUUUAUAAAAAAAAUUUAAUACCCGCCCAAUCAAAACUAAAUCAUUAAUUAAAUAUAAUUUUAAAUUUUUGUAGCAAAAUAUUGAAUAUUUAAGUAAGACCUGCUAAAAUAUUCUACGCGUUUCUCAAAUAUAGAUCAUAUCUUAAUACCUCAUAUAUAAUAUUUAUAAUAUAUAAUCUUAUCUCAUAAUAAUACUUAUCACAUAAUACCUGUAAAAAUAUUUUAGCAUUUUUUAAAUAUUGAGCAUAUCUUAAUACCUUCACGUAUAAUAUCUACAAUAUUCAAUCUUAUCUCAUCAUAAUACUUAUCACACAAUAUGUAGAGCAUAUCCUUUUCUUGUAGUGUUUCUGAGCUUUGGAUAGGAUUGGCUUCAGUGUUAGUGACUGGUCGACACAUCUAGAGAAUGUCGGACUGAGUCGGAGUCAUUUCUGCGCGAAAUGG